AUACAGGGUGACAGCCCCGUACACAAAAGCGCAUGUGUUGUGAGCUCGAUGAGUAGGGCGGGACACGUGGUAUCCUGUCUGAAUAUGGGGGGACCAUCCUCCAAGGCUAAAUACUCCUGACUGACCGAUAGUGAACCAGUACCGUGAGGGAAAGGCGAAAAGAACCCCGGCGAGGGGAGUGAAAAAGAACCUGAAACCGUGUACGUACAAGCAGUGGGAGCACAGGUUUACCUGUGUGACUGCGUACCUUUUGUAUAAUGGGUCAGCGACUUAUAUUCUGUAGCAAGGUUAACCGUAUAGGGGAGCCGGAGGGAAACCGAGUCUUAAUUGGGCGUUAAGUUGCAGGGUAUAGACCCGAAACCCGGUGAUCUAGCCAUGGGCAGGUUGAAGGUUGGGUAACACUAACUGGAGGACCGAACCGACUAAUGUUGAAAAAUUAGCGGAUGACCUGUGGCUGGGGGUGAAAGGCCAAUCAAACCGGGAGAUAGCUGGUUCUCCCCGAAAGCUAUUUAGGUAGCGCCUCGUGAAUUCAUCUCCGGGGGUAGAGCACUGUUUCGGCUAGGGGGCCAUCCCGGCUUACCAACCCGAUGCAAACUGCGAAUACCGGAGAAUGUUAUCACGGGAGACACACGGCGGGUGCUAACGUCCGUCGUGAAGAGGGAAACAACCCAGACCGCCAGCUAAGGUCCCAAAGUCAUGGUUAAGUGGGAAACGAUGUGGGAAGGCCCAGACAGCCAGGAUGUUGGCUUAGAAGCAGCCAUCAUUUAAAGAAAGCGUAAUAGCUCACUGGUCGAGUCGGCCUGCGCGGAAGAUGUAACGGGGCUAAACCAUGCACCGAAGCUGCGGCAGCGACGCUUAUGCGUUGUUGGGUAGGGGAGCGUUCUGUAAGCCUGUGAAGGUGUGUCGUGAGGCAU
RNAcentral lists this ribosomal RNA (914 nucleotides) under Salmonella enterica subsp. enterica serovar Paratyphi B var. L(+) tartrate +. RNAcentral's name for it is "partial 23S ribosomal RNA". It matches the Rfam family "Bacterial large subunit ribosomal RNA", at positions 357 to 1271 of the family's 2925-position model. Lineage: Bacteria; Pseudomonadati; Pseudomonadota; Gammaproteobacteria; Enterobacterales; Enterobacteriaceae. The record is from RNAcentral.